GGCCUGGUAGCUCAGUUGGCUAGAGCGUUGGCUGAACUAAAGCCUUCCUCUUGCUGGCGUGAUUUCGAAUCCCACCGAGGCCA
This 83-nucleotide transfer RNA is filed under the name Schistocephalus solidus. It matches the Rfam family "tRNA". Rfam says of the family: Transfer RNA (tRNA) molecules are approximately 80 nucleotides in length. Their secondary structure includes four short double-helical elements and three loops (D, anti-codon, and T loops). Further hydrogen bonds mediate the characteristic L-shaped molecular structure. tRNAs have two regions of fundamental functional importance: the anti-codon, which is responsible for specific mRNA codon recognition, and the 3' end, to which the tRNAs corresponding amino acid is attached (by aminoacyl-tRNA synthetases). tRNAs cope with the degeneracy of the genetic code in two manners: having more than one tRNA (with a specific anti-codon) for a particular amino acid; and 'wobble' base-pairing, i.e. permitting non-standard base-pairing at the 3rd anti-codon position. Lineage: Eukaryota; Metazoa; Platyhelminthes; Cestoda; Diphyllobothriidea; Diphyllobothriidae. The record is from Rfam by way of RNAcentral.